This 253-nucleotide ribosomal RNA is filed under the name uncultured bacterium. RNAcentral's name for it is "partial 16S ribosomal RNA". It matches the Rfam family "Bacterial small subunit ribosomal RNA", at positions 524 to 776 of the family's 1533-position model. The record is from RNAcentral.
UACGUAGGUGGCGAGCGUUGUCCGGAAUCACUGGGCGUAAAGGGCGCGUAGGCGGUCAAUCAAGUCGCAUGUGAAAUACCAGGGCUCAACUCUGGGGGGUCAUGCGAAACUGAAUGACUUGAGUGUAGUAGAGGAAAGCGGAAUUCCUGGUGUAGCGGUAAAAUGCGUAGAGAUCAGGAGGAACACCGGUGGCGAAGGCGGGUCUCUGGGCCGAUACUGACGCUGAGGAGCGAAAGCGUGGGGAGCAAACAGG